UGGACUCUUCCAUUCUCUCUUCUUUCCCCUUUUCCUAUUAAAAAAAGUCAUAUACUAUACUACCCUAUAAACAAUACCUACAACAUCCCCUCAUUAGUUAUUCCCUGUUCAUUUCAUUUCCUACACUUAAAAAUUCUCUAGAUAAAACCAGUUCUUUUCAUCAAAUAAUCAAGGAUUUCAAGAAGCCAUGAAAGAUAGAGGCAAAGCUGCAGCUGUAGACAACAACUUCUCAGAUUUCAAUUACUCUAUUUCAUCAACUAUACCAUGUACCAAACACCCAAAUACAUCUACUGUUGGAAUCUGCAGUUACUGUUUAAAAGACAGAUUGGUCAAUUUAGUAUGUUCUGAGUGUGGUGAGCAAAGACUCUCUUCUUGUUCUUGCUCUGAUGAUAUCUCUUCUUAUAGAAAUUCUUGUUCUGUUGAGGUUGGCAGUGUUGGUAGAAUUUCAUUUUUAUUAGAAAAUGAGAAAAAUACUGAUCAAAGUGUACCAAUUCAGCAGUCACAGUCAGAACAAGUGAUCUUGCUAAGAAGUAGCAGCAACUGCGUAGAAAUCAAGAAAAGUAAAAAUGGUUUUUGGAAGAUUAAGAGACUUUUUAGAAAGAAAAGAGAAAAGGGUACAAUUGGGGUUGAUGAAAAAAGUGAUAUUUGUGUAUCUGAUGCAGUUAUGGGAGUUUCAAGAUCAAGAUCAUUAUGUAGUUUUAGAGGUGAUGAUUUUGGCAGUGAAUAUAGAUUUUCAAGUGCAAAAAUUUCUGAUGUUACAGGGGGUUUGUUAUUUGAUUCUGAUCAUGAGCCAAGAAAGAGUGGUAGUAAUUUCAAGAAUUUUAGUGUUCCAAAUAAGGGAAAUAAUACAUUUCCUGUUAAGGAAAGUGAUUUUAGUACUAUAAUGGAUGAUUCAGCAUUUAUAGAUUUGAAGCUUGAUUUAUCAUCAGAGACAAGAUCAGAUUUUUAUGGUAAAAGACUUGGUAAUAGUUCAGAUAAUGGAUAUGAUUCUGCAGCUUCAAUUGGGAAUUUAAGAGGUGGAUCUUGUAGAAUGAAUGAAUAUGACAGAAAGAUCAAAAGAGGUAGUAGUAGUAGUAGUCAUGGCAAAGGAAACAAAGUGUGGAAAUGGAUUUUCAGGCAAACAACUUCAGAUGGGAGGAAAAGUACAAGAAAAAGAGAUGAUGCAAUUAAUAGUAAUUUGAUUUUUAAGUCUUAAGAGUUCUUGAAAUAAGACAGAUUUGUACUAUUCUCUUUGGUUAUGCUUUUUGUUCAUAGCACUAUCUCUCACUUAGAAGGGAGCCUUUGAACAAUGGUAACGGCGAGAUUACGAUAUAAAAUUUAAUAUGAUCCGAGCUUUCCUCAAAUUAUGUGCAGCUUGGAGCUUGGAGCUUGGAGCUUGGAGCUUAGUGCACCGAGCUACUUUUAGCGCUAGCUCAUGUUUAAAUGAUAAUUUUGCAUAGGAAGCAAUACUUCUUAGUAGCAAGAAAAGUAAAUACUACAAAACUUUACCUAUUUCUCUGCUUUUAUUUGCUGAAGCAAUACUAUCUUAGUAGUAAGAAAAGUAAAUACUACAAAACUUUACCUAUUUCUCUGCUUUUAUUUGCUUUUCUUUUUUCUUUUUCUCUAAGGUUGAUUCUCUUCUAUAUGCUUUAUUUUUUUCUUGUGGAGUAAAAAAAUACACACACAAAUAGCUGUUCUCUUUGGCUUUUCCCCCCUUUUCUUAAUUAUAUUUG
RNAcentral lists this long non-coding RNA (1712 nucleotides) under Nicotiana tabacum (common tobacco). RNAcentral describes it as "long non-coding RNA (NTAB_LNC006015)". The record is from RNAcentral. Lineage: Eukaryota; Viridiplantae; Streptophyta; Magnoliopsida; Solanales; Solanaceae.